Molecule: unclassified non-coding RNA, 274 nt
Filed under: soil metagenome
Description: partial contains internal transcribed spacer 1, 5.8S ribosomal RNA, and internal transcribed spacer 2
Source: RNAcentral
CAGAGUACCGGUGCCCUCUGGGCGCCUACUCCAACCCUUUGUCUACCACAAUCGUUGCUUUGGCGGGCCGGGUGCCCGCGCACCGCCGGCCCCGGCUGGAGAGCGCCCGCCAGAGGAUACACAAACACUGCUCACGGUGUCAUCUGAGUAAAAAAACAAAUGAAUCAAAACUUUCAACAACGGAUCUCUUGGUUCUUCAUCGAUGCGAGAGCCAAGAGAUCCGUUGUUAAAAGUUUUGUUUAAUUAAGAUACUCUUACGUUCGUUAAUUAAACA